AGUAGAAAAGACAAGCGGGCAAGGAUGUUUUUUGUCUUAAAAACUCAGUAUCAACCAAUGAGUGAUUUGAGCUUGGGAACAUAAGGAUCUCGUCAUCCCAAAAAACCAUACUGACCAUUACCAAGCAGACCAUUAUCAAGCAGAUCAUUACCUAACAACGUAUUUGAUCUCAUUUUGCCAGACAAGAAUGACAAUAAUGCACUAAUGAUGAAAAUAACAGAGCCAAACAUUUAUAAUGUUGUGCAGAAGCGAGCUGAAUGAGUCAGCAUUUACAAAGGAUUUUACCAUUGAACCACAAAUAUGUGUUUUAAUG
This is a long non-coding RNA of Octopus bimaculoides (California two-spot octopus), 313 nucleotides long. Lineage: Eukaryota; Metazoa; Mollusca; Cephalopoda; Octopoda; Octopodidae. The record is from RefSeq and is a predicted model, not a curated record.